Carcharodon carcharias (great white shark) is the source of this 136-nucleotide small nuclear RNA. RefSeq annotates it as U4 spliceosomal RNA. The transcript has a single exon. The record is from RefSeq and is a predicted model, not a curated record. NCBI's taxonomy places the organism in Eukaryota, Metazoa, Chordata, Chondrichthyes, Lamniformes, Lamnidae.
GUCUUUGCGCAGUGGCAGUAUCAUAGCCGAUGAGGUUUAACCGAGGCGCGAUUAUUGUUUAUUGAAAACUUUUCCCAAUACCCCAAAAAAAGCUUGGCCUAAAUAGCCAAGUGGUUAUGGUACUGGGUUUGUAACC